UACGGGGGGGGUAAGCGUUGUUCGGAAUUACUGGGCGUAAAGGGCUCGUAGGCGGCCAACUAAGUCAUACGUGAAAUCCCUCAGCUUAACUGGGGGAACUGCGUGUGAUACUGGAUGGCUUGGAUUUGGGAGAGGGAUGCGGAAUUCCAGGUGUAGCGGUGAAAUGCGUAGAUAUCUGGAGGAACACCGGUGGCGAAGGCGGCAUCCUGGACCAACACUGACGCUGAGGAGCGAAAGCCAGGGGAGCAAACGGG
RNAcentral lists this ribosomal RNA (254 nucleotides) under uncultured bacterium. Its description in RNAcentral is "partial 16S ribosomal RNA". It matches the Rfam family "Bacterial small subunit ribosomal RNA", at positions 524 to 776 of the family's 1533-position model. The record is from RNAcentral.